RNAcentral lists this transfer RNA (70 nucleotides) under Brienomyrus brachyistius. RNAcentral describes it as "tRNA-Arg". It matches the Rfam family "tRNA". Rfam says of the family: Transfer RNA (tRNA) molecules are approximately 80 nucleotides in length. Their secondary structure includes four short double-helical elements and three loops (D, anti-codon, and T loops). The record is from RNAcentral. Lineage: Eukaryota; Metazoa; Chordata; Actinopteri; Osteoglossiformes; Mormyridae.
AGACGAUUAGUACAAAGAAAUACCUCUGAUUUCGGCUCAGAAAACUAUGGUUCAAGUCCAUAAUCAUCUU